RNAcentral lists this small RNA (797 nucleotides) under Pan troglodytes (chimpanzee). RNAcentral describes it as "retained intron". The record is from RNAcentral. Lineage: Eukaryota; Metazoa; Chordata; Mammalia; Primates; Hominidae.
CUAUUGAAGGGCUCACUGUAUACCGAUUACUGAUUAGGACACUUUACAAGCUCUUAUAGUAUUAAUUUUUAUAGCAACCAUAUGAAGCAGGUACACUAUUGGCCUCAUUUUGCAAAUGAGACAAACGCAUAGAGGUUAAAUGCCCAAAGCCACAUGGCUACUAAGUGGCUGAGCCUAGAUUUCACCCGAGUGCCCACAUGUCCAGCUACUCUGCUCUGUUGCCUGCAGGAUCACAGUGCAGUGUUGCUCACUGCAGCCGUGCAUGAGCAAGGCAGCUGGUGUGAACAAAGGGGAAAUGUAACCUAAUUCUUCUAAUUCUAUGAUUUGAUGCACAAAGGGCUCCAUAAUCGUGGGAAUUGAUUACGACUGCCGGGAGAGGAUGGUGUACUGGACAGAUGUUGCUGGACGGACAAUCAGCCGUGCCAGUCUGGAACUGGGAGCAGAGCCUGAGACGAUCGUGAAUUCAGGUCUGAUAAGCCCUGAAGGACUUGCCAUAGACCACAUCCGCAGAACAAUGUACUGGACGGACAGCGUCCUGGAUAAGAUAGAGAGCGCCCUGCUGGAUGGCUCUGAGCGCAAGGUCCUCUUCUACACAGAUCUGGUGAAUCCCCGUGCCAUCGCUGUGGAUCCAAUCCGAGGCAACUUGUACUGGACAGACUGGAAUAGAGAAGCUCCUAAAAUUGAAACGUCAUCUUUAGAUGGAGAAAACAGAAGAAUUCUGAUCAAUACAGACAUUGGAUUGCCCAAUGGCUUAACCUUUGACCCUUUCUCUAAACUGCUCUGCUGGGCAGAUGCAG